ACGCAUGUCUUCAAGCUCAUAGAGGGAGUUCUUCUCCCUUCGAAGAAUCCUGAGAACUGUGUAAAGCUGUUGGGCACCUUGAGGCAUAAUUCUAGCCAUGCAGGAUGCUCUGUCAAGGAAUAGACCAAUUUAGCCCUGAUCGUGUGGAAUGAACAGGUUUGAAUGGUCGCUCUCGAGGACUCACUCUGGAUGCCACCUCCAGGGCUCCCAGAGCCCCUCACCCAAUCCCUAGACCGGAGCCAUGCGGCGGGAUUGCGGGACCGUGCAGCUCUGCCACCUCCUUGGGGAGGGAACGCAGUGUGGACUCCUUGGCCACAGCAGCAGGACCAGGAGCCUCCUGGUGAGGCGGGUGGGCCUCAGCUUUGCUUCCUGCCACUUGGCCUGAGGGCCGAAUAUUAAAACUUCCGUGUGGCUUUCUCUGGUCCUGGUGUCCUUGGUGUAUGCACAGAGCCUUGCAAAGCAGAACCCUCAUGGGCACAGAGCUGCUUCCGCCAGUGCUGCCUUCACUCAACUGCAGUUGGAUGGUUUUGUUCAGGGGCACCAAGCUUUUGCCUAUGAAAUAGGGGGACAUUUAUUAAAAUGCCCGAGGCUUCAAGCAGCUGUCUGAGAUGCCUGCACUCAGUCUCCCACACCUGUCCCGCGAGGACCCCCUGGCCUGCCUGGCGGGUAGCGCCUCUGACCACAGGGCCAGCAGAGCCCAACACCUACGAAUCCAGCGGGGAGAAGCAGAUUCCAGGAUCCCCUGGAGGUUCUAAAAACCGGAACCAGCCAUGCUCAGUUUAAGCAACACUGUUUUCUCGGGAUCCUCACUUAUUUCCUCAUUCAAUUAAAUAUUUAUUGUUUGCUCCACUGCGGGCAUGUCUACUCUUUUUCUUGUAUCACAUUGGGAAGCCACGCACACAUAUCCGUGGCAGGUGCCUGCGUGCAGAGA
Symphalangus syndactylus (siamang) is the source of this 931-nucleotide long non-coding RNA. RefSeq lists it as uncharacterized. The record is from RefSeq and is a predicted model, not a curated record. Lineage: Eukaryota; Metazoa; Chordata; Mammalia; Primates; Hylobatidae.